This 1660-nucleotide long non-coding RNA is filed under the name Sus scrofa (pig). RNAcentral describes it as "lncRNA (ENSSSCG00055016710.1)". Lineage: Eukaryota; Metazoa; Chordata; Mammalia; Artiodactyla; Suidae. The record is from RNAcentral.
AGAUGGAGACGAGACAUCCAGACUUCUGAGCUUCCUCAGGGGAAGAUAACUGUGCAACCCUUCGGGAUGCUGCGAAAGUUGGAGCUGGACUGAGGGGGAGACAGAGAGAUGCUGGCGUGAAGGGUAAGUGAGAACUAAAGCCGGGUGCUCGGCAGCCGGGUUCUUUCACGUCUGAGUUCCUCGGUGUGCAAGCUGUGUGUGCUCUGGAUGUACUGCUGUGCACGUGAACUCUGUCAGCCAGGGCUCUGGAGCAUGCUUACCUGUUUCCAGGUUUCUGAGGGAUUCUGUUACAGGGCAGUGGCAGUGGGGCCAAGCCAGGAUCAGGAUGCCUCAGGAGCCCCAGAGCGUAAACCAUUACUGCACACAUUUAUGGACUAUGGUUCAGGCCUGGCACUUCGAUGGGUUAUGUCAUUUAAUUCUCAUCUUAGAGACGGGACGCCAGGGAGCCCUAAGAACCUGGCUGAUCACUGAGAGGAAGGUCAUAAUGCGUCCCAUCCCAACGUAAAAGCCUUUUCUCUCUUCUCCAACAUUCCCCGCUUGCCUUUCUUCUGGUCCCAACGUUCCAUCUAUUUUUUUCUUAAAAAAAAAAAAAAAAAUUGUUUUGUUUGUUUUGCUUUUUAGGGCCACACCUGCAGCAUAUGGAGGUUCCCUGAGUCACGGCCACAGCAAUGCCAGAUCCAAGCGACACCUCUGUGGUGUAGGUCGCAACCAUGGCUCGGAUCCCGCGUUGCUAUGGCUCUGGCAUAGGCCGGCGGCUACAGCUCCGAUUCGACCCCUAGCCUGGGAAUCUCUGUAUGCCGCGGGAGGGGUCCAAGAAAUGGCAAAAAGACUAAAUAAAUAAAUAAAUUAAUUAAUUAAUUUUUAAAAAAAGUUCCUCUAUGGUUUUCUUUAGCUUUGUUUGCAAGACACCCUUUCCUGGGUGUUAGGCUUGUGGACAUGAACAUUUAGCUCUGUCUCACAGUUUGGAAUUCACCUCUGUCUCUGGAAGCCUUCCUGGGACCGUGGUCCUUUUUAGCUGUGACUUCACUACAUCGUUGUCUGUGUUGUGGUUCUCUUACCUCUUCAUCAAUUACUCAUCUGUGUGGUCAGAACCCCAUUUUCAAGAAUUGAGAAGGAGGAUGGUUUUUUUAGAUUCCAGCUCACCUUUCAAUUCUUGGAAAUCUCUGCUUUGAACUACGAGAUUCUCACCAGACUGGGUUUCUUUCUCCUGGCCGUCGUGGACACAAGGAUGACGUGCGCAUCUUCUCUCACUGUGUCUAUCACUUCCACUUCUCCCAUCACUUCCUCCUUCUUAAUUGGAAGUCAGUCGAGAACAGCAGCCCCUCCCGCUGCUUUCUCAAUCUUCCGAGACCUGGAUCUGUCAGCAGGUUCAGUCAGGGGUGUGUCAUGGACCAUUUUUAUCACAAUGAUGCUAGGAGAUGAGUGUGCACAUUUGAAACCUCCCUCCCCGCCAGUUUUGUCUUUGAUGUUUCUUCCUGAUUUCUGUGCCAGGAAUGAUCAUGCAUUUCCUGUGUUUGGCAGUGGCCGUGGCGUCCUGGAUUACAGGAGCACUUUUCUCUAUGCAUCUCCAUUCUUUUCUUUCCCUUUUUUUGCCUUUUUUAGGGCCACACCCAAGGCAUAUGGAAGUUCCCAGGCUAGGGGUCCAAUCAGAGCUGUAGCC